This 497-nucleotide ribosomal RNA is filed under the name uncultured bacterium. Its description in RNAcentral is "partial 16S ribosomal RNA". It matches the Rfam family "Bacterial small subunit ribosomal RNA", at positions 28 to 507 of the family's 1533-position model. The record is from RNAcentral.
GAUGAACGCUGGCGGCGUGCCUAAUACAUGCAAGUCGAGCGAACGGACGAGAAGCUUGCUUCUCUGAUGUUAGCGGCGGACGGGUGAGUAACACGUGGAUAACCUACCUAUAAGACUGGGAUAACUUCGGGAAACCGUAGCUAAUACCGGAUAAUAUUUUGAACCGCAUGGUUCAAAAGUGAAAGACGGUCUUGCUGUCACUUAUAGAUGGAUCCGCGCUGCAUUAGCUAGUUGGUAAGGUAACGGCUUACCAAGGCAACGAUGCAUAGCCGACCUGAGAGGGUGAUCGGCCACACUGGAACUGAGACACGGUCCAGACUCCUACGGGAGGCAGCAGUAGGGAAUCUUCCGCAAUUGGCGAAAGCCUGACGGAGCAACGCCGCGUGAGUGAUGAAGGUCUUCGGAUCGUAAAACUCUGUUAUUAGGGAAGAACAUAUGUGUAAGUAACUGUGCACAUCUUGACGGUACCUAAUCAGAAAGCCACGGCUAACUACGUG